This 391-nucleotide ribosomal RNA is filed under the name uncultured bacterium. Its description in RNAcentral is "bacterial SSU rRNA". It matches the Rfam family "Bacterial small subunit ribosomal RNA", at positions 28 to 417 of the family's 1533-position model. The record is from RNAcentral.
GACGAACGCUGGCGGCGUGCUUAACACAUGCAAGUCGAGCGGUAAGGCCCUUUCGGGGGUACGACGAGCGGCGAACGGGUGAGUAACACGUGGGUGACCUGCCCUCAGCUCUGGGAGUAAGCCUGGGAAACCGGGUCUAAUAACCGGAUAUGACUCCAUGACGCAUGUUGUGGGGUGGAAAGCCUUGUGCGGCUGAGGAUGGGCCCGCGGCCUAUCAGCUUGUUGGUGGGGUGAUGGCCUACCAAGGCGACGACGGGUAGCCGGCCUGAGAGGGCGACCGGCCACACUGGGACUGAGACACGGCCCAGACUCCUACGGGAGGCAGCAGUGGGGAAUCUUGCGCAAUGGGCGAAAGCCUGACGCAGCGACGCCGCGUGAGGGAUGACGGCCU